This 331-nucleotide ribosomal RNA is filed under the name uncultured bacterium. RNAcentral's name for it is "bacterial SSU rRNA". It matches the Rfam family "Bacterial small subunit ribosomal RNA", at positions 29 to 361 of the family's 1533-position model. The record is from RNAcentral.
AUUGAACGCUGGCGGCAUGCCUUACACAUGCAAGUCGAGCGGCAGCGCGGGGCAACCUGGCGGCGAGCGGCGAACGGGUGAGUAAUGCAUCGGAACGUACCCAGUCGUGGGGGAGUAACUGUCCGAAAGGACAGCUAAUACCGCAUACGUCCUGAGGGAGAAAGACGGGGAGUCGCAAGACCUCGCGCGAUUGGAGCGGCCGAUGCCGGAUUAGCUAGUUGGUAGGGUAAAGGCCUACCAAGGCGACGAUCCGUAGCUGGUCUGAGAGGACGACCAGCCACACUGGAACUGAGACACGGUCCAGACUCCUACGGGAGGCAGCAGUGGGGAA